GGGGCAUUGUAGACGUCCUGGGCCAGCCAGCUGACCACCUUCUCUGUGCUGGGAAAUGCACACAAAAUUUUUUCAAGGUGGAACAGCACUUGGACAGCCCAAGAUGGUGGAUGAAGACCCCAAGGGAAUACCAGCUUGACACUGGAAUUGAGCCGAAAACAUGGGACACAACAAUCAGAAGUCUGGAUGACCUGAUAACACACAACCCAGACACACGGGAAUCCAUUGAGCUGGAGGAUCAGAGAGCCUUUGUCAG
Long non-coding RNA from Xiphias gladius (swordfish), 256 nucleotides. RefSeq lists it as uncharacterized. The record is from RefSeq and is a predicted model, not a curated record. NCBI's taxonomy places the organism in Eukaryota, Metazoa, Chordata, Actinopteri, Istiophoriformes, Xiphiidae. The transcript has 3 exons.